GAUGAACGCUGGCGGCGUGCCUAAUACAUGCAAGUCGAACGCACAGCGAAAGGUGCUUGCACCUUUCAAGUGAGUGGCGAACGGGUGAGUAACACGUGGACAACCUGCCUCAAGGCUGGGGAUCACAUUUGGAAACAGAUGCUAAUACCGAAUAAAACUCAGUGUCGCAUGACACAAAGUUAAAAGGCGCUUUGGCGUCACCUAGAGAUGGAUCCGCGGUGCAUUAGUUAGUUGGUGGGGUAAAGGCCUACCAAGACAAUGAUGCAUAGCCGAGUUGAGAGACUGAUCGGCCACAUUGGGACUGAGACACGGCCCAAACUCCUACGGGAGGCUGCAGUAGAGAAUCUUCCACAAUGGGCGAAAGCCUGAUGGAGCAACGCCGCGUGUGUGAUGAAGGCUUUCGGGUCGUAAAGCACUGUUGUAUGGGAAGAACAGCUAGAAUAGGGAAUGAUUUUAGUUUGACGGUACCAUACCAGAAAGGGACGGCUAAAUACGUGCCAGCCGCCGCAGUAA
RNAcentral lists this ribosomal RNA (513 nucleotides) under uncultured bacterium. RNAcentral's name for it is "partial 16S ribosomal RNA". It matches the Rfam family "Bacterial small subunit ribosomal RNA", at positions 28 to 523 of the family's 1533-position model. The record is from RNAcentral.